This is a non-coding RNA of Malus domestica (apple), 732 nucleotides long. The record is from RefSeq and is a predicted model, not a curated record. Lineage: Eukaryota; Viridiplantae; Streptophyta; Magnoliopsida; Rosales; Rosaceae.
CCAAGUUUAAACUCUCUCUCUCUCUCUCUCUCUCUCUCUCUCCCUCCGAGGCAGCAACUGAAUUGUAGAGGAAACAAUGUGUUUGAACUCAGAAACAUCUCCAUCUAGUCCUCUUUACUCUUCUUCGCCUUCGAAGGCCAUCAAAGCAAAACCACUUUCGAGUUCGCCGCCUAAUUAACAGGAACAGGAAGGGAAGACCAGGAGCGGCAGCAACAGAGGCAGAGACAGGAGGAGGGGCAAAGAUAGAGAUGCAAAUGAAGAACUUGAAGCUUUACAUGGAGAACCAGAGCAUUAUAGAAGAAAAUAACAAGCUGAGGAGAAAAGCGCUUCUCCUCGUCCAAGAAAACCAAGCCUUGUUUUCACAGCUCCAACAAAAGCAGCUUUCUCUCACCAAAACAACAGCAGCAGUACAAAAUGCAUGAAGGAUGCACUAAUAGUCCUAUGAAGCUGAAACAUCGAUCAUAGCAGUACUACUAGACGAAUUAUGUAAACACAUAUAUGUUUAAUGCUUAAUUUUCAAUUUUCAUCAGAAAAAGUUCCAAUUUUCAUCAGAGAAAGUUUAAAUAAGUAGUAGGGACCUCUCUUAGCCUUAAAUUGUUCCUUCAUCUCCUUGUUGGGGGACUGAUAUUAUUCCCCCCACCUCACUUUAUUUGUGGGAUAAUUUUGGUUUAGGUUGCAAACAAAUAAUAAAAUAUGGUAUGCUAUAUGGAUGAUUUACACUUUAUGCGUGUA